CACAAACGAAUUCAGACAUGACAGUCACGAUCUUUUUUGACGCACAUCUACGGUCCUUCGUGAAACUGGCACCAAUGGUGAUAAAUUGGUUGUACUGCUGAGUUCCCAUCAUCACCAGCCCGGUGGCAAUGAUAAGGCGCUCCAGCAAGUGCUAUCGUAACCAACAUCUCGGUCCUUGGGGCCUUCAAAGCUAGCAAGUCAGUGAGAGUAAAGUAAACAAAAUGGAGUAAAAUACAACACAUCAUCGCAUAUGAAAACCUUUUUUGAAAUCUUGUAAGGUAGUUUUGAAAGAAUAUUUGUUGAAUUAUAUGAAAAAGAGUGCUGACGAUGCAUAUUGCCAGAAAUGGUGUAGCAGGAGGAAGAUUAGGCAUCGAAAUUCACAAAAUGGAAUGAAAAUCAAACAGUUGAAUAGGCAGCAAGUUCUAUUUCUCUUUUCUAAAUAAUCUUCAUUAUCAGAAUAACGGGUAAUGUGAAGUGAAUAAAGCAUUAACCACAAAACCGAAGAGUGCAGAUUUUCAAAACCAAUGUGUGUCUAAGCAACUAUAGAAUAAUGAAUUGUUUGGAGGGUAAGCUAUAGUUUGAUGAGUAUCUAGAUCCCAGGAAGUAGCAAACGGUUGUCGUCGACAUAGAACAUAUUGUGAACAAUUUCCAUAGCCACUAUAUUACAUCAUCAAUAUAAUAAAUAUGAAUUUCCAUUAGUUUUGAAAGUAAAGUGAAAUGCAAUACAAGGA
Long non-coding RNA from Malaya genurostris, 731 nucleotides. RefSeq lists it as uncharacterized. NCBI's taxonomy places the organism in Eukaryota, Metazoa, Arthropoda, Insecta, Diptera, Culicidae. The transcript is spliced from 2 exons. The record is from RefSeq and is a predicted model, not a curated record.